RNAcentral lists this ribosomal RNA (468 nucleotides) under uncultured bacterium. RNAcentral describes it as "partial 16S ribosomal RNA". It matches the Rfam family "Bacterial small subunit ribosomal RNA", at positions 28 to 507 of the family's 1533-position model. The record is from RNAcentral.
GACGAACGCCGGCGGCGUGCUUAACACAUGCAAGUCGAACGGAAAGGCCCUGCUUUUGUGGGGUGCUCGAGUGGCGAACGGGUGAGUAACACGUGAGUAACCUGCCCUUGACUUUGGGAUAACUUCAGGAAACUGGGGCUAAUACCGGAUAGGAGCUCCUGCUGCAUGGUGGGGGUUGGAAAGUUUCGGCGGUUGGGGAUGGACUAGCGGCUUAUCAGCUUGUUGGUGGGGUAGUGGCUUACCAAGGCUUUGACGGGUAGCCGGCCUGAGAGGGUGACCGGCCACAUUGGGACUGAGAUACGGCCCAGACUCCUACGGGAGGCAGCAGUGGGGAAUAUUGCACAGUGGGCGGAAGCCUGAUGCAGCAACGCCGCGUGCGGGAUGACGGCCUUCGGGUUGUAAACCGCUUUCGCCUGUGACGAAGCGUGAGUGACGGUAAUGGGUAAAGAAGCACCGGCUAACUACGUG